AGAGUUUGAUCAUGGCUCAGGAUGAACGCUGGCGGCGUGCCUAACACAUGCAAGUCGAACGUGAUAAGUUAGCAAUAACUUUGAAAGUGGCGAACGGGUGAGUAACACGUAGGUAACCUGCCGCGCAGAGGGGGAUAACGACUGGAAACGGUCGCUAACACCGCAUGGUACUGUUGAGGGGGGACCCUUGAUGGUUAAAACCUUGGUGCUGCGCGAGGGGCCUGCGUCCGAUUAGUUAGUUGGUGAGGUAACGGCUCACCAAGACGAUGAUCGGUAGCUAGUCUGAGAGGAUGACUAGCCACACGGGAACUGAGACACGGUCCCGACUCCUACGGGGGGCAGCAGUGAGGAAUAUUGCACAAUGGACGCAAGUCUGAUGCAGCAACGCCGCGUGGAGGAUGAAGGUCUUUGGAUUGUAAACUCCUUUUCUCAGGGAAGAGAAUGGACGGUAUCUGAGGAAUAAGUCACGGCUAACUACGUGCCAGCCGCCGCGGUAAUAC
Molecule: ribosomal RNA, 500 nt
Filed under: uncultured bacterium
Lineage: Bacteria
Description: bacterial SSU rRNA
Rfam family: Bacterial small subunit ribosomal RNA
Source: RNAcentral